AGAGUUGAUCAUGGCUCAGGAUGAACGCUAGCGACAGGCUUAACACAUGCAAGUCGAGGGGCAGCAUAAAAGUAGCAAUACUUGGUGGCGACCGGCGCGACGGGUGAGUAACGCGUAUGCAACCUACCUAUCAGGAGGGGAAUAACCCGGCGAAAGUCGGACUAAUACCGCAUAAAACAGGGGCACCGCAUGGUGAUAUUUGUUAAAGAAAUUCGCUGAUAGAUGGGCAUGCGUUCCAUUAGGUAGUUGGUGAGGUAACGGCUCACCAAGCCGACGAUGGAUAGGGGAACUGAGAGGUUGGUCCCCCACACUGGUACUAAGACACGGACCAGACUCCUACGGGAGGCAGCAGUGAGGAAUAUUGGUCAAUGGGCGGGAGCCUGAACCAGCCAAGUCGCGUGAAGGAAGAAGGAUCUAUGGUUCGUAAACUUCUUUUGCAGGGGAAUAAAGUGCAGGACGUGUCCUGUUUUGUAUGUACCCUGAGAAUAAGGAUCGGCUAACUCCGUGCCAGCCGCAGC
Molecule: ribosomal RNA, 518 nt
Filed under: uncultured bacterium
Lineage: Bacteria
Description: bacterial SSU rRNA
Rfam family: Bacterial small subunit ribosomal RNA
Source: RNAcentral